UGAGCUUCAGGCAGCCAAAACCAGAU
RNAcentral lists this non-coding RNA (26 nucleotides) under Homo sapiens (human). The record is from RNAcentral. Lineage: Eukaryota; Metazoa; Chordata; Mammalia; Primates; Hominidae.